Molecule: long non-coding RNA, 5253 nt
Organism: Vespula vulgaris
Lineage: Eukaryota; Metazoa; Arthropoda; Insecta; Hymenoptera; Vespidae
Exons: 4
Source: RefSeq, a predicted model, not a curated record
GUUCUGUGAAUGGUUUGGGAUUUCCAGUUAAAUCAGACAAUUACAACGGAAAAGAAUCAGUUAGGGAGUCAUUCACGUACUUCGAAUUUGUCGCGAGGGUGAACAACUAGAAUGAGCCAGCAAAGAUAAUGGCUCUCGUGUUAUGUUUGCGAGAAAAGGCGCGAUCAAUUUUAGAAACGAUUAGGGAUUUAACUAAACCAACAUUUUCGGAAUUAAAAUUAGAGAUGCGGUUCGGAGAAACCUUGGUACUUAGGGAAACUAUAUUGGAUCAGAGACGGAGGGCAGUUGAGGAUUUAGCUGCUUUACCCGCUAAACACGCUUUCGCGGUCCGCGUAUCCAAAGUGUACAGCGGAGAUGCAAGAUAAGAUUGUUUGCAUCCAGUUUAUAAAUGCUGUAGGGAACCCUUUCUUGCGCUAAUUUCUUGUAAUUGAAAGAUGUGAAGUUCCUGAAAAAAUCUGUAUAAGGGCUAUUGAAGUCGAAGACAUAAAAAAAAAUAGGAUGUAUUUCUUUGAAAACUAAAGUGCGCCUAGUAUGGAGGGAUGGUUCGGACAGUAUUCCGUUAUGGGAAACUUGUAUCGAGAAGGAAUUGACCGGAGAGAUCUAGAGGAAAAUUUUUUUAUAAAUCGUCAAAUUCAAACCAGAAAUGAAAAAAGAGGCCACCUAUGAAUAUUGGUGAAUGUUGGACAUGUGCGGAAAUGGACAUUAUCGGACGGAAUGCUUAAGAACAUUCCGGUAGGAAAAUUAAAAAUGGUCAAACUGGGGGGAGUUGAAUUCGAUUACAAAUAGGAGAUCUCAACUUCAUUAUCAGGAGAUUAAGGAUCGGAUGUUCCUCUUAUGAGUCCGAAAAUUGUAGAUGGACAAUUUAUACGAGUAAUCUAAAAAAGGAGUACGUUGUCAGGAGUGAGAUUGUGCUAGCUUACCGGAGAGGUUCUGUUAGCCGAAGAAAAAAUGGAAACUUUCGUGGAAAUGGAAAAAUCUUCUGAAAAAUUACUCUCAGUAGUAGCGGAUAUUUUUUAUGACUGUAUUUUAAGGCGAGAAGUUUUGUCACAGAUUGGAAUGAACAAGCAAUUUCGGAAAAUUAUCCUGGGGAAUUCAGGUUCAGUAGUGAAGAUUUUAGAAGAGAUAUUAAGUAAAUUAAAUAUUAUUUUUCAAGAAAAUUCGGGGAACCUCUCAAAGUGGAUUCUUCUGAUUUCCUUAAGAAAUUUUUAGGGGAGUUUGCUGAAAAAAGUAUUGUAGGAAAUUGUGGAAUCGUGGAAUAUGUUAUUGAACUGACAGAUUUUUGUCCUAUAAAACAGUUUCUUUGAAGGAUAACAUUUCAUUUACGAGGAGAAAUGUACCAAAUUGUAGAGAAUAUGAGGAAACAGAGAGUGAUAGAGGAAUCCUCUAGUCCUUGGAUUUUCCGGCGGUAUUUGUACAAUGGAAAGAGGAUUGUUCUAGGUUUUGCGUGGAUUAUAGAAGAUGGAAUGCAGUGACGAAGAAGAAUCUAUUGCCGAUAAUAGACAAUUUGUUUGAUUGAUUAUCUAGGAACGUUUGGUUUACGACUUUAGAUGUUAAGAGGGAACAUUGGUAGGUGAAGAUUCGCUAGGAGAAUAGAGACAAGACGGUCUUUUCAAUUAGGAAAGGAUUGUGACAAUUUUGGAUAAUGCUUUGGCUUAUAUAAUGUUCCAGCCAAAUUCGAAUGACAUAUCUUAAAGAGAUUACAACAUUGAAUCUGUUUAGUAUAUCUUAAUGAUAUAAUUACUUAGAGUCAUACCUUUGAAGGUAUGCUCGAAAAUGUAAAAGAGCAAUUCUCAAAGCUACAUGUGACAAGGUUGUAUAAGAAAUACAAAUUUUUCGAGAAAGAAAUGAGGUAUUUGGGACAUAUUAUUUCGGAAAAAGAAUUGUCAACUGAUUUGGAAAAAACUAGUAUCAUGGCGAAUUAGCCUGUACCAAGAAAUAAGAAAUAAAUCAGGAUUCUGUUCGAAUUACCGACAAUUUCUGACAGGCUUCUAGGUAAUUACAAAACCAUUGUAUUGUUUUACGGAAAAUAUGACGGUGUUCAAGUGGAAUAUACAAUAUCAAGAGUUAUUUGAGAAACUGAAGAAAGCUCUCACGUCAUCGAAAAUUCUUGUCUUUUUGUUAGAGGGAAAACAGUUUAUUUUGGACACUGAUACGUCGGUCAUAAUGUGGCCACAGAAGCGGUAUUGUCCAAAUAACUUAAUUCAGCAGGGUUCUGAAUAAAGCAGAGAAAAAUUAUUGCAUAAUCAGGCAAGAAUUACUCGCUGUUUUAGAUUCUAUUAAGGCAUUUUAUCACUAUCUUUAUGAAAAAAAAAUUUGUUUUACGAACGGACCAUACUUCUCUUUGGUGGUAACUAUCUUUUAAGGAUUUGGAUGGACAAUUGGUCCGAUGGUUUGAAUGAUUUCAACAAUAUGAAUUUGAAGUUGCUCACAGAGGAGAAAGAUCGCACAGGAAACGUGGAUGGGUUGUCCAUACGACCAUGCGAAGAGAUACAAUGCAGUUAUUGUGCUAAAUGAGAGACAACGGACGAAUUUAAUUUUCGCAAAUGAAAAAUUCAAGAAUUGGAGCGAUUGAUAACGGAGGGAUAUAAUGUGAGAAUGCCAUUUGCACGUGUGCAGAUGGAUGUCAUGGGUCUUUUCUCGAAAUCUAUACGGGGAAACAUAUUUCUUCUAGUUGUGGUGGAUUGCUGCAGUAAAUGAAAGUGUUUCCGCUAAGGAAUUUUAGGACAAAGAUAGUGGCUGACAUUUUUAUCGAGCAGGUUGUCUCCAAACAUGGAGUUGGAUAUACUAAUCAGUAAUAUACCAAGAAGUAACUUUGAGUCCAAAUUAUUUAAAGAAAUUGUAAAAUUAUUAGGAAUUUGGUAAAUAGACUACAGCGUUGCAUCCGCAAUCGGAUGGAAUGAAGCGCCAAAUAGGAUGAUCAUUGAUUUGGUGAAAUUUAUUAGUCAAGAUCAGAGGGAUUGGGAUCGGUGGGUUCCAUUAUGUUUGUUAGCCUAUAGUAUUGUAAAAUGUGAAACAAGUAGAAUGAACUAGCAAAAAUUUUAAUUGGAAAGAAUCAAAGGAUACCAUUAGAUCUUUCUUGAGGUUGUCCACUGGCCUUAUAUAGAUAUAUGGAUCAAAGCUUGGAACGAAAUUACAUAAAAUUCAUCGUAUUGCAAAAAAGUGGAUGGAAAUUAAAUCCUGUAGAAUGAAGACUUGGUAUGACCGAGGAAUAAAUAAAAAAAAAUUUAAAGAAGGUCAAAAAGUUUGGUUAUUUAAUUAUCAACGAAGGAAAGGGAAAACGCAGAAACUGGAGAGUAAUUGGGAAAGAUCAUAUAACAUUUUAAGGAAAAUUAAUGAUGCAGUAUUUUGUAUAAGGAAAUCUUCGAGAGAAAAGAAUAGAAUUGUUCAAUCGAAUCGAUUAGCUUCAUUUUUAGAGAGUAGAUGAUUUUAGUAUAGCGUUUAAGUAAGAUGUAUGAAUGUGGUCCUGCCACUCUUGUUCUCUGACAUGAGAAGCCAGAUUCCGUGCCAAGAGGCGUAAUCCAGAUUCAAUCCAAAUGGAGAUUUGUGUACUCGUCAGGAGCACUUGUCUUAGACCUUUGAGUUUGUAUGAUGGAAAAAAAUACCUGUCGAGACGGAACUACCCUUGAAACUUCUGAAGAAGAAGAAAGUGAUGGGCGAGAUGGGAUAUUCCAAGACAUUUAGCUAAGAGUCAUGACCCAAAUGUUUUGUUGAAAUGCUUGGGAAGGGAGAAAGUAAUUCGUAGGAUAAAGAAAUAGGUUUUUAUAGAAAAAUAUUUUGCUGAUAAUAAUUUCCGUUGCAGAAAACGGAUUCUGGGACGAAUGGAAAAUAUGAAAAGAGAAAGUCUCCAAAGUCAAUUCGAAGACAGAAGAAAAAGAAAAGGAAGAAAGAAAACUAUACUGAGUACCGCUGAUUUCCCAGAGGUUUUUAGUCCAUAGUUUUCCCUUCGAGCGAAGCGAGUUUGUGCUCCGGAUGAAUACUAGAUCGGUUAAGGAAUGUGAUAGACCCCUGGUAUUCUAUCGCCUCCCCAUGCCCAAAGUACUGCGUUGUAAGAAAGCUCCUAAUACAAGAAACCUCACUCUUUUGGAAGAAAAGAGCAGAGAGACGGGUCCUGUUUCGUCCAUAGACAUCUUGUGAUUGGGUCUGAGACUUCGAAGCAUGGAGGUUUUUGUGAGGAAGUAGAGGAAAUGCUAUCGAAGGGAACCCUGGAAGCUGGAGAUUUUGGACAAGGAAAAGUCGAGAGAAACUCGCUUGGCAAAGGCCCAUGUGACAGAGCUUCCAGUGCUUUUUUUUUACGUGGUUUCCUUUGUAGGACUAGUUCACUCUAUACUAGUUUAACAACUACUACUAUAAUAAUAUAAUAUAAUAUAAUAUAAUAUAAUAUAAUAUAAUAUAAUAUAAUAAAAUAAAAGAUAAGAUAAGAUAAGAUAUAUAGGAGACACUCGAACUUAGUCCGAUUUACCAGGACUUGUCCUUAGCUAAAGAACUUAACUCGAAGUUAUAGAAUUUUGGUCGAAAUGAGUCUGACAUUUCCGAAAUAUUUUAAUUAGAUGGCGUAAACAUGAAAAUGCAUAGAACUACUUGGAGACACUCAAAAUUCGCCGAAUUCUGGACUUGUCCAGAGUUUUAAAAAAUUAAUUAUUUUCAUGAUUAAAUAAAUAGAAAUUGAAUCAAAAAAAAAAUUUUGUAUAAAAACACUUGUGGAUAAUAGUAGUAUACACGCCAGGUAAUAAUAAAAAGAAUUCAAAAAGGAGUUCAGCAAUCUACUUGUAAGCUUAGAAUUAGACAAUAUUAAUAAUUAUUAUGUAAUUACGGGAAGUAGAUUUUUUCAUAAAUGGUUAAAACAGAUAGACUAUAAAGUGAUACUAUGUACAAUUAGCAAACCUUGAUGUUUAGUAAAUAAUUCAUAGUUACAGGAUUUACACAUAAUAGAAUCUAAGUAGUAAAUAAAACAAAGGUAAUAGAAGAAAAAGAGUAAUAGAAAAUAAAAACUAUAUCAUAUGACAGUGAUUAUAAUACAUUAGCUAGACAAAUAAGGAAAGGUAACUGUGUAAUAUUUAAUCUUGAAGAAUUUAAAGAAAAUAAUAACUGUAAUUCGAAUAAAGUGAACUAGUAGAAAUGUUUAAAAUACUUACAGUACUUAUUGUUAAUAGUAAUAGUAAUUUAGAAAAUAAUUAGAUAAAGAAAUACUUCAAAUAAAAAGUAACGGUUCUAGUUCGAUUUAUCUAGUCAAUACCAAGAAAAAAUUAAAAUGUA